GCCAAUGGCAGCAGUACAGCAAAUAUUUGGGCCCUGUCCUACAUGUGCUUAAUCCUUAUGAAAUGCAGAUGCUGUAUGCAAAUUUCCCCAAGGGACACUUUCAUGAUUGGCCUUUAUUGAUAUUGAAAAUUAUGUUAAAUUAUGGUAACAUAUAUAGAAUUGCCAUCACCAGUGAGAUGUACAUUGCUAGAACUGAGCUGGACCUUCAGAACUGUCUUUGUGUCAUAAACUUAACAAGGUGCUGGAAACAUUCCUCUGAGAUCCAUGCUGACAUGAUAGUAUUGCAUAGUUGCUGCAGAUUUGUCAGCUGAACAUCUAUGAUACGAAUCUUGUGUUUCUCAGAGGUUCUCUAAUGAAUUGAGAUCUGGUGACUGUGGAGACCAUUUGAGUACAGUGAACUCAUUUUUAUGUUCAAGAAACAAGUUUGAGAUUAUCUGAGCUUUAUGCAGGAAGCAGUCAUCAGAAUAUGGUACACUGUCAUCAUGAAGAGUGAAGAGAGACUGUGGCAUGUUAACAAUGCUCAGAGGAUAAUAAAGGAGACAAAGUAUCCCAAGAAAAUAUCCCCCACACCCAAUCAGAGGCAUCCAGAACUGUUGAUACAAGGCAGCAUGAAUUCAAGCUUUCAUGUAGUUUAUUCCAAAUACCUGACCCUACGAAACUCAUCAGACCAGGAGACAUUUUUCCAAACAUCUAUUUUCUGAUUAUGGUGAGCCCCUGUGAACUGUAGCCAUUGUAGCUGAUCUACAUCAAGGUUUCAUGUAUUCUGCAUUCAGAGAUGAUUUUCCAAUUAUAGUGAUUGUAGUAAGAACUUAUUUGAGGUACUGUUGGCUUCCUUGACCUUUGGUAUAAACAAGGCAUUUUUGGCCAAAGCAAAGACAGUGUGAAGUACUGAAGCAGAUUACUCUUAUAGUUUACCCAACAGACUCUUUGGUAGAAAAAAAGAAGAAAAAAUUAUAAUUUCUUAGCAACACUUUGCAACAAAAAAACAAAAAAUGACACUAAUAAAUCUCCACCAGCUACACAUAACCAAAAUAAAUAAAUAAAUUCAGGUGCAGCUGGUUAAGUUGCACAGAAGUAAAUAUCAGCACUCGACUCCCAGUCUCCUCAAUGAAAGGACAUCUUUAAGAGCCUGCAGGAGAGAUGUGAAUGUAGCCUUUUGAUAAGCUGGAAACCUGGAAUACCACCCAUUGUAGGAUAGGCUUCCACUUCCUGUGACCCUGAACAGAAUAAAUGGGUAAAGAGAAUUCAUGUCUGAACGAAGUGAAGUGAAGUGAACUGAAUUUAAUGAUCACAGGAGCUGUCGACUGAGAACCAGAAAGACCAAACACACACACUCUGAUAUGCAUGGCUGGACACACCACAGAGACUCUUUUAGAAAAAUACCUAAGUCAGAGAGAUGAGCUUCCUCUCCUUCCUUCUACUCUCUUCUCUCUCUCUUCUGUCUAUGAUUUAAAGCUCCAGUUUGUUGCCUUAAAGAUUCAAAGCCUCAGCGCUCCCUCUAAACAGAUGUGCAGUCUUUAUCGGCAUUU
Astatotilapia calliptera (eastern happy) is the source of this 1529-nucleotide long non-coding RNA. NCBI's taxonomy places the organism in Eukaryota, Metazoa, Chordata, Actinopteri, Cichliformes, Cichlidae. The record is from Ensembl.